UACGUAGGGUGCGAGCGUUGUCCGGAAUUACUGGGCGUAAAGAGCUCGUAGGUGGUUUGUCGCGUUGUUCGUGAAAACUCACAGCUCAACUGUGGGCGUGCGGGCGAGACGGGCAGACUGGAGUACUGCAGGGGAGACUGGAAUUCCUGGUGUAGCGGUGGAAUGCGUAGAGAUCCGGAAGAACAUCAGUGGCGAAGGCGGCCUGCUGGGCUGUUGCUGACGCUGAGGCGCGACAGCGUGGGGAGCAAACAGG
RNAcentral lists this ribosomal RNA (253 nucleotides) under uncultured bacterium. RNAcentral's name for it is "partial 16S ribosomal RNA". It matches the Rfam family "Bacterial small subunit ribosomal RNA", at positions 524 to 776 of the family's 1533-position model. The record is from RNAcentral.